GUCUUACGAAUUAUGAUAAUAGUUUGACGCUUGACAAGCUAGGUGGAGGCUUGGAAAUGAAGCGGGUCAAACGAAGCAAGAAUGGCGGAAAAAGCAUAAUUCGGAUACAAGGUAAGUAUAACUUACACUAGUCUUAAAUUGUGGAAUGUUUUCUUAUCAUAUAAAUUAUGAAUGAGGUGUCUAAACAUUUGAAAAGUGAUGUUCCGUCGUGUAAUCGAACGGAACAAGAAAAUCAAGGAUAAAUGGUUAAUUCGGCCAAACGGGUCAAAAGGUGUAGAUAACACCUUUUGACUAUAUCGACUAACGAUUCUUUUGUCGAGUCAUAUGCUUACAGGAAUAGAUAUCCAAUGGAUAUUCGCACCGUUCUUAAUUAGCGAAUAUAAAGCAAGGUAUUAAGAUCGGGUCUAUUUGUUGACUCGAGUCAGGUACGCUUAUUUAUGAUGUACCUAAACGUAAAUUGGCUGGUCUUAGCUCCCUAGCGUCGUGAUAAGUCUCGCAAGCUUGAUUGCAGUAUCUGAUGGAACAAUACUUUAUGUUUAUUUACGAUCCACUGUGGAUAUUCAACUUCUGUAAUACAUUGAUAUUAUCACCAGAGGUUGAAAUAUAUAUUUAUCUUAU
Molecule: long non-coding RNA, 618 nt
Filed under: Helianthus annuus (common sunflower)
Lineage: Eukaryota; Viridiplantae; Streptophyta; Magnoliopsida; Asterales; Asteraceae
Description: hypothetical non coding rna
Source: RNAcentral